RNAcentral lists this ribosomal RNA (292 nucleotides) under uncultured bacterium. RNAcentral's name for it is "partial 16S ribosomal RNA". It matches the Rfam family "Bacterial small subunit ribosomal RNA", at positions 505 to 796 of the family's 1533-position model. The record is from RNAcentral.
GUGUCAGCAGCCGCGGUAAUACGUAGGGUGCAAGCGUUGUCCGGAAUUAUUGGGCGUAAAGAGCUCGUAGGCGGCGUGUCACGUCGGAUGUGAAAGCCCAUGGCUUAACUGUGGGUCUGCAUUCGAUACGGGCAGGCUGGAGUUCGGUAGGGGAGAUCGGAAUUCCUGGUGUAGCGGUGAAAUGCGCAGAUAUCAGGAGGAACACCGGUGGCGAAGGCGGAUCUCUGGGCCGAUACUGACGCUGAGGAGCGAAAGCAUGGGGAGCGAACAGGAUUAGAUACCCGCGUAGUCC